Long non-coding RNA from Gorilla gorilla gorilla (western lowland gorilla), 3031 nucleotides. RefSeq lists it as uncharacterized. The record is from RefSeq and is a predicted model, not a curated record. The transcript is spliced from 3 exons. NCBI's taxonomy places the organism in Eukaryota, Metazoa, Chordata, Mammalia, Primates, Hominidae.
GAGCUUCCCAUGCCGGGCACGCCCCCUGCAGGUCGGGCCUGCAGCUCGGCGCUACGGAUCCUGGACGCAGGGGUGCUUGGCUCUCCCCAGCGGUGCCUGUUACGCCCUCUGCAGGCCGGGCAGGCUCUCCAACGCUGACACGCGCCCCGGGUGGAGCUGCGAACGCUGUCGCCAUUUUCCCCUGGGCCCGGGGUAAAUUUGCACCUCUGAUGUGGCCAACGCCCUGCGCCUCCGCUGACCCCGGGAAAGGGCCUGGUGCACUGGGCGUCCCCUGGGUCGCGGAGGUACAGGGAGGGGACAGCGGAUACCAGAGCGUCGCUGGGGAAGGCCGGGCCUUGCAAUUCGCAGACCGGUGCGGGCCCUCUUCCCCGAGGUCCCGGGACACAGACAUCCGGGCACACGGUGCUAGUUUCCGCGGGGUAGUUUGGGGUAGUUUUCAGUCUUCUCUCUUCCUUGCUUGGUUAUUACUUUGAAACCGAAAAGGCAACCACAGCUAUGCUGGACCUUUUUUUUUUUUUUUUUGACGGAGUUUCGCUCUUGUCGCUCAGGCUGGAGUGCAGUGGCGCGAUCUCGGCUGACAGCAACCUCCGCCUCCCGGGUUCCAGUGAUUCUCCUGCCUCAGCCUCCUGAGUAGCUGGGGUUACAGGCGCCAGCCACCACGUCCAGCUAAUUUUUUUUUUUUUGGUAUUUUUUAGUAGAGACGGGGUUUCGCCAUUUUGGGCAGACUGGUCUCGAACUCCUGACCUCAGGUGAUCCGCCCGCCUCGGCCUCCCAAAGUGCUGGGAUUACAGGCGUGAGCCACCGCGCCCGGCCGGACUUGACCAUUUUUAAAAUGUUAUGAAUGACACAUUUAGAGACGUGCGUACACACGUGUGUUCAUAUGUUCACAUUUACCCACACACCUUGAUUUGUCCCCUGCCCCAGUCCCGCUGCAUUCCUACCUCUCCACUCUACCCCGCAGCUCCCACUAGGUAUGUUCUAGAACAGAUACAGGUUGCUAGCACCGUCCACUAGCUGUUCCCAACAUCAGUUACAAAUCUCCGCGAGGGACAAAAACAUCUGUUCAGUCAGAGACUGGGGAAGUCAAGACUGCGGGUGCCGCACUGCGGGGAUGCACAAAUCCGGAGCCGAGUCAGAGAGAGCCCCUUGCCCCCUCCCGCUGCGGUCGGCGGUGGCAAAAGAUUUUCGAGAUAGCAGGUAGUACAUGCACAUGGAGAAAAGAAUUUCAAGCAGGACAAAAGAGUGCACAUGCAAGCAGACCCAGACAGACAAGUUUCCUGAGUCAUCCACAUCGCUGACGAUAUCUGACUUGGUGGUUUCUCAUCGCACCUCCUCAGCAGUUCGCCCGGCGGUUCCCGGGGAGAACGGCGGCCUUCCCUGCCCGGUUCUAGGCGAGCGUAACCAGCUCUUUUUGACUUCCGAAGUGAGGCUUCCUGGUAUCAAACGCUCAUUAUUGACUACCUUGAGAUCUAAUAUGGUUGGAGGUAUAUGGAGGGGGGCUCAUUUUUCUUUUCAUUUCCCGAUUCCAUUCACAGUUAACGUUACCGACGGUUAAUAAAAUGUAGCUUGUGACUGUAAUAUCGGGACGGAGAGGUCCCAAUAAAUGUCAAAAGAUAUAAGACAAAAAAGUAUCUUGCGACUGUACGCGGGACUGCAUUGCUCCCAGUUUUGGCUAUAGAUGCACUAAAAUAACCUGUUAACACACACCAAAGUGCAUCCUUAUAAUAACCUCCUCAAUCAUUUAUUAAAAGUCGUGUCAAGCAGGCCCGUAUAAUUCAUCUCUAUGCAAAUACAUCAAUGUCAGGCCAUUAGUGUAUUGCUCAGGUUUUUAUUAAAGUGCAUUCUUUUUAAUUCAGCCCCGUAAAAUACGAGCCCCAUUGCUCAAGAAUUAUAGCAACUAUUAGAGUAACAUAUGGGCAACAUGCACUCAGAAAAUAAAAACCAACAGAUAAAGUGGCAGGGUCACAUCGCAGGAGCAAACACUUAACAAAAUGGCAGUGGGGUAAUAGAUUUUUCUCCCAAGGCCUUUGGCGAAAGGGUGUCAUGGGCAUUAACACCUAAGGAAAGGCAGAGCCUGGAAGUUACUCUGCAAGGAAAGGUAGAGCCUCGAAGUUACUCUGUGCUGUCUCAAACUCAGAACCAGCCAGGACUGGCAUCUCUGGAGUUAGGAGAGGGGAGGCUUCCUGAGCUCCUCCACAUUCGGCUACCAUCUUUCUAUAAAAGGAUUUCAACAUACCCCAGAGAAGGGUGUUCGGCUUUUUCUUAAAGCAAGAAUCCCUUGAGAGAUUUCGAUGUAGGGUUUAUGGCCCAACGCUCCUCCCUCUCUCCUCUCCACUCCACUCCGCCACCUCCUUCCUCAUCUUGGCUAUCUCUCAUCCCACACUUGCCUCACUGGGAGUCCCACCCACCUCUAGUACUUUCUGGGAUCACCCUUCCAUCCCUGCCUCUGCAGGAAGGUUGAGAAGGCCCGUGGAUGUGUAGGCAAAUUUCCCUCUCAUAUGUGGAAGCCUGUGUAAAAACUUCCCAUUGAAAUCAAUCCAUAGCUAAAAAUAAAACAUAUUUUAGCUCCCAACUCAGAAGAAACUUAAAUGCCCUCUGCCUGCACCCCUCACCUGGCACUGGCACUCGGGGACGCCCAAGUUUCCCAGGUUAGAAUGCAUUGCUGCAAAUUUUGUCAAACCGGGGAAAACUCUAGCCUGAUCUGAGAGUGAUUUUGCUAUUUUAGUUACUGAGGACAGAGUGGUGGCCAGUGGGUGGUGCCCUGCAGCCCUUCAGCAGACGCCUAGGCUUGAGAUGGAAUGGGGAAGAGAGAGAGAGAGAGAGAAUGAGAGAGAGAGAGAGAGAGAGAGAGAGAGAGAGAGAGAGAGAAGAGAGCACGCACGAGCAAACUGGUUUGCAACAGCAGCUGACAAAUCCACUGGAGAAGUCAGCAGCAUCAAAUUCAGUUUUUUAUUUUUGAUUGCCAUUAGAACAAUCAAUUUUCAGAGGCUGGAAAAUAAACCUCAAAUCCAAAACACAACACAGCCUAGAC